AAAAUUCGUGAGACAUAAUUUAAGAAAAUUUUAAGAAUAUAUUAAUGAAAUAGAAAGAAACAGUGAAAUGACAUCAUCAUCAUCAUCAUCAUCAGCCUAUAGGAGCCCACUGCUGAGCAAAGGCCUGUUCUCACAUGGAGAAGAUAUUAUUUCACCUGACGACGGUACUGGCCACUAUUACGUUGAGUUUUAGCAGUAUAGUGAAACCUCCUUCGAAUGAUGGCAAAAAUUUCGAGCUGUUAAUACUUCACAACAAUGAUAUGCAUGCACGAUUUGAACAGACCUCGCAGCUUAGCGGGGCCUGCACCACACUCGAUAGAGAAGCAGGAAAAUGUUACGGAGGCUUCCCGAGAGUAGCGACUGUAGUGAAAGAGGCACGAAGAAAAGCAGCAUCCGGCGAAGGUCCACCCGUCUUAUAUCUAAACGCUGGUGACACUUACACAGGCACGGCCUGGUUCACAAUCUACAAAUGGAAGGUUGCUGCGGAAUUCUUGAACGCUCUACAACCAGAUGCUGUUUCUUUGGGCAAUCAUGAGUUCGACAAUGGAAUCUCCGGAUUAACUCCAUUUAUAACGAACUUAACUUGCCCAGUUUUAGCUGCAAACAUUAUACUUGAUAAAGUUCCGAAGUUGAGAAAGGAAGAAAACUUGUUGAGAUCUGUUGUAUUUAAUAUCAAUAACGUUAAAGUCGGCGUAAUCGGAUAUCUAACUCCUGAUACGAAAUUUUUAGCAAUAAAGAACGACGUCGAAUAUAUUGAUGAAGUUGCAGCGAUCAGGCGCGAGGUUGAGAGUUUGAAGACGGAGGGUGUAAAUAUUUUGAUAGCUUUAGGACAUUCAGGUUUCACCAAAGAUAAAGAUAUAGCGUAUGCAGUAGACGGUAUAGACCUUGUUAUUGGAGGUCAUACUAAUACAUUCUUAUGGAACGGGUUGACUUCGGACGUGGAAAUUCCAGAGGGUCCUUAUCCCAUAUACGUAAAACAAGCAUCAGGCAAACUAGUUCCGGUCAUGCAGGCUUAUGCCUAUACGAAAUAUUUGGGAAAGUUACUCGUAACUUUCAACUCUGACGGGGAAAUAGUCAAUGUAACUGGAAAUCCUAUCCUUUUAAACAAUUCAAUACCACAAGACCCCGACGUUUUAGCUAUUGUAGAAAGAUAUCAGGAUGAAGUGUACGCGAUAUCAGAAACGAUAGCCGGUAACUCAUCAGUAUAUUUAGAUGGUCUAUCAUGUCGGAUGUCUGAGUGUAAUAUGGGAAAUUUGAUAACUGAUGCAAUAGUUAAUAAAUACGCAAAAGAAUAUACUGGAAGUGGCUGGACCGAUUCCCCAAUAGCAAUUUUACAAGGCGGAGGCAUUCGUUCCUCAAUCAUUCAUGAGGGCCAGUAUUUUAAUAUCUCUGUAGGCGAUCUGUACACUGUCAUGCCAUAUGACAGUAGUAUUGUAAAGAUUACUAUAAAUGGGUCUGAUAUUGUAAAAAUGCUUGAGCAUUCUGUUGCCAGUUUUGGAAAAAGUCGUGGAUCGGCAAGGUUACUGCAAAUGUCCGGUAUGAGAGUGGUGUACGACUUAUCUAAGUCUCCAGGAAAAAGAGUUAAACAUACCGAAAUUCUAUGUGGAAAAUGUAAUAUUCCUAUUUACUCUAAUAUAAAUUUGACAGAAAAUUACAACAUUCUUCUGAAUGGCUUUCUUUCAAUGGGCGGAGAUGGAUAUACAGUAUUUAAAGAUUUGCCAGCAACUCCUCUACCAUAUAAUGAAUUUCAAUGUACUUUUGAGUAUUUAAAGAAAAUGAGUCCUGUGCGUCCCUCGAUUGAAAAUCGAAUAAUUAUGGCGAAUGUCAACAACGUUAUGCCAACGAAAAUCUCACAUAUUAUGUUGAUAAUAUCUUUUUUCAGCGCAAUUUAUUUAUAAUAAUACGUAAAAUUUUAAAACACAAAUCACAGAAUAGAAACUCAAAUAUACGUAAUUCGGUUUACUUAAAUAUCAGUAUUAAAUAGUUGCUUAUUUAUAUAUAUGUAUAUGGAGUAUCUUAAUUUUGAAAUUUAGACACUCUUUAUGCAUACGUGUUAGUAUUUUUAAGGUUUUCUUUACAUUGAAAGAAUGAAAGGUGUUAAAAACUAAAUGAAGUUCCUAUAAAAAUUGUAGAUAUGUUUAGUCUUAGUUUUAUUUGUAACGUAUUAAUUUAAUACAGAAAAUAUUUAAGCCAUAAAUGAAAAGAAUGUAUCACUUGACAAAAUAUAUUUAUUUAUAUCAUUAUAUAUGUACCUACUCUCUGAUGCAUAAAAUCACCGUUAAAAGUUUCUCUAAGCAUCUUAUUACUUCUACUGUUUUACGAAAUGUCACACCUUAUUGAUGUUUUAAAAGUCUCUGGGAAACCACGAGCUCGACCAUGGAGUUAGCGGACUAACGCCUUUUAUUGAAAAUCUAACAUGUCCCGUAUUGGCGGCUAAUCUAAUUUUAAAUAAAGUUCCUGAGUUAGAAAAGGAAACUAAUUU
This is an RNA transcript of Danaus plexippus (monarch butterfly), 2482 nucleotides long. It is a transcript of the gene named protein 5NUC-like, with no coding region annotated. The record is from RefSeq and is a predicted model, not a curated record. The transcript is spliced from 5 exons. NCBI's taxonomy places the organism in Eukaryota, Metazoa, Arthropoda, Insecta, Lepidoptera, Nymphalidae.